This 253-nucleotide ribosomal RNA is filed under the name uncultured bacterium. RNAcentral describes it as "partial 16S ribosomal RNA". It matches the Rfam family "Bacterial small subunit ribosomal RNA", at positions 524 to 776 of the family's 1533-position model. The record is from RNAcentral.
UACAGAGGUCUCGAGCGUUGUUCGGAUUCAUUGGGCGUAAAGGGUGCGUAGGUGGCGCUGUAAGUCGGGUGUGAAAUCCUGAGGCUUAACCUCGGAACUGCAUUCGAUACUGCGGUGCUUGAGGACUGGAGAGGAGACUGGAAUUCAUGGUGUAGCAGUGAAAUGCGUAGAGAUCAUGAGGAAGACCAGUGGCGAAGGCGGGUCUCUGGACAGUUCCUAACACUGAGGCACGAAGGCCAGGGGAGCAAACGGG